Molecule: ribosomal RNA, 1132 nt
Filed under: Bacillus subtilis
Lineage: Bacteria; Bacillati; Bacillota; Bacilli; Caryophanales; Bacillaceae
Description: bacterial SSU rRNA
Rfam family: Bacterial small subunit ribosomal RNA (bases 125-1132)
Source: RNAcentral
UGACACCCGAGGUGCUCCGUAUUCAAAAAUAAGGGUGGACACCCUUUGAACCGGUACUUAAACCCAAGAAAGGCCACAACGGCUUAAACUAACGUGCAAGCAGGCCGGCAGUUUAAUACGAAGGGUGGCAAAGCCGUUGAUCCUGGAAAUUAUUUGGGGCGGUAAAAGGGGGCUCGGCAGGCGGAUUCAUUUAAGUUUGAAUAGUGAAAGGCCCCCGGCUCUAACCCGGGGGAAGGGUCCAUUGGAAAACUGGGGGAGAUUGAGUGCAGGAAAGAGGAGAGGUGGAAUUCCACGUGUAGCGGUGAAAUGCGUAGAGAUGUGGAGGAACAUCAGUGGCGAAGGCGACUCUCCUGGUCUGUAUACUUGACGCUGAGGAGCGAAAGCGUGGGGAGCGAACAGGGAUUAGAUACCCUGGUAGUCCACGCCGUAAACGAUGAGUGGUAAGUGUUAGGGGCUCUCCGCCUCCUUAGUGCUGCAGCUAACGCAUUAAGCACUCCGCCUGGGGAGUACGGUCGCAAGACUGAAACUCAAAGGAAUUGACGGGGGCCCGCACAAGCGGUGGAGCAUGUGUUUUAAUUCGAAGCAACGCGAAGAACCUUACCAGGUCUUGACAUCCUCUGACAAUCCUAGAGAUAGGACGUCCCCUUCGGGGGCAGAGUGACAGGUGGUGCAUGGUUGUCGUCAGCUCGUGUCGUGAGAUGUUGGGUUAAGUCCCGCAACGAGCGCAACCCUUGAUCUUAGUUGCCAGCAUUCAGUUGGGCACUUUAAGGUGACUGCCGGUGACAAACCGGAGGAAGGUGGGGAUGACGUCAAAUCAUCAUGCCCCUUAUGACCUGGGGUACACACGUGCUACAAUGGGCAGAACAAAGGGCAGGGAAACCGCGAGGUUAAGCCAAUCCCACAAAUCUGUUUUCAGUUCGGAUUGCAGUUUGCAACUUGACUGCGUGAAGCUGGAAUCGCUAGUAAUCGCGGAUCAGCAAGCCGCGGUGAAUACGUUCCCGGGCCUUGUACACACCGCCCGUCACACCACGAGAGUUGUAACACCCGAAGUCGGUUAGUUAACCUUUACGGAGCCAGCCACCGAAGUUGUGAGAGAUGAAUGGGGGAAGUUCAUUUUAAUGAGAUGGUCCCC